AGGAUUAACGCUGGCGGCGUGCCUAACACAUGCAAGUCGAACGAGGUAGCAAUACCUAGUGGCAGACGGGUGAGUAACGCGUGGUCAACCUACCGUUGAGUGGGGGAUAACUAGCCGAAAGGUUAGCUAAUACCGCAUACGAGUCUCGGGGGCAUCCCUGGGCCUUAAAAGGAGCAAUCCGCUCGAUGACGGGACCGCGUCCCAUUAGCUAGAUGGUGGGGUAAUGGCCUACCAUGGCACCGAUGGGUAGCUGGUUUGAGAGAGCGACCAGCUACACUGGGACUGAGAAACGGCCCAGACUCCUACGGGAGGCAGCAGUGAGGAAUUUUCCGCAAUGGGCGAAAGCCUGACGGAGCGACGCCGCGUGUGGGAAGAAGGCCUUCGGGUCGUAAACCACUGUCGAAGGGGACGAUAAUGACGGUACCUUGGAGGAAGCCCGGCUAACUACGUGCCAGCAGCCGC
Molecule: ribosomal RNA, 462 nt
Filed under: uncultured bacterium
Lineage: Bacteria
Description: SSU rRNA
Rfam family: Bacterial small subunit ribosomal RNA
Source: RNAcentral